GUGCCUAAUACAUGCAAGUCGAGCGAACAGAUAAGAGCUUGCUCCUCUGACGUUAGCGGCGGACGGGCGAGUAACACGUGGAUAACCUACCUAUAAGACUGGGAUAACUUCGGGAAACCGGAGCUAAUACCGGAUAAUAUAUUGAACCGCAUGGUUCAAUAGUGAAAGACGGUUUUGCUGUCACUUAUAGAUGGAUCCGCGCCGCAUUAGCUAGUUGGUAAGGUAACGGCUUACCAAGGCAACGAUGCGUAGCCGACCUGAGAGGGUGAUCGGCCACACUGGAACUGAGACACGGUCCAGACUCCUACGGGAGGCAGCAGUAGGGAAUCUUCCGCAAUGGGCGAAAGCCUGACGGAGCAACGCCGCGUGAGUGAUGAAGGUCUUCGGAUCGUAAAACUCUGUCAUUAGGGAAGAACAAAUGUGUAAGUAACUAUGCACGUCUUGACGGUACCUAAUCAGAAAGCCACGGCUAACUACGUGCCAGCAGCCGCGGUAAUACGUAGGCGGCAAGCGUUAUCCGGAAUUAUUGGGCGUAAAGCGCGCGUAGGCGGUUUUUUAAGUCUGAUGUGAAAGCCCACGGCUCAACCGUGGAGGGUCAUUGGAAACUGGAAAACUUGAGUGCAGAAGAGGAAAGUGGAAUUCCAUGUGUAGCGGUGAAAUGCGCAGAGAUAUGGAGGAACACCAGUGGCGAAGGCGACUUUCUGGUCUGUAACUGACGCUGAUGUGCGAAAGCGUGGGGAUCAAACAGGA
This 750-nucleotide ribosomal RNA is filed under the name uncultured Staphylococcus sp. RNAcentral describes it as "bacterial SSU rRNA". It matches the Rfam family "Bacterial small subunit ribosomal RNA", at positions 44 to 777 of the family's 1533-position model. Lineage: Bacteria; Bacillati; Bacillota; Bacilli; Caryophanales; Staphylococcaceae. The record is from RNAcentral.